Molecule: long non-coding RNA, 5426 nt
Organism: Varanus komodoensis (Komodo dragon)
Lineage: Eukaryota; Metazoa; Chordata; Lepidosauria; Squamata; Varanidae
Exons: 2
Source: RefSeq, a predicted model, not a curated record
CCGGGCCGGGCCGGGCCGGGCCGGGCGGAGGAGAAGGAACCGGGCCGGGGACAGGAUGAAGUGGAAGAGCAGUGGGUCUGUGCCAGCCCCUCCCGCUGCAGCUGCCGCUCCUGCCGCCGCCUCCGUUCCAGCUCGGCCGUAAAAUUCCGCUCCGGGCUCAGACUUGCUCAACUCGGUGCCGCGGAGCGGAGAAUUAUUUAGGCCUGGAAAAUCCCCAACGUUUUGGGGUGGCUUUUCCACAGGCACUGCCCGGGGCACCCCCGCCUCCCGAUUUUCAAUACAGUCCCCUCGAUCGUGGAAUUUAAAUCUGCCCAAUGCCUUUUUGAAAGUGAAAAUAAGAGGUACCCUAUUAUGACAUUUUUGAAUUAAAAUAUUCCUUUUCGUGGUUUCCCCCCCCUCGCUCCCCAUUGUAACAGUAUGUAUGCUUGGCCUAGUGUGGAAGCACCCCCUCCAUCGGCUUCAGUAAAGAAGACUGAAGUACGCUGUAAAUAUGGAAUAUUUAACACUCCCAAUACUGAAUGCAUGUACAGUUAUGAAUGUUAUAGAGAUAUUUAUGUUUUAGUAUGAUGCUGUAAGAUGGUAUACAAAUUUUGUAAUAAUGACAAGUACUCUCCUUUGAAAAGAAAGUACUUCCUUCACACUGUAAUUUAUAAAAUUUGCUACCACCAGAUGUGGUGAUGACUAGGAUUGUAGUUGUCUUCGAAUGGCAAUUAAAUUUGUGCAGGGAUAUUACCGAUAAUGGCUGCUUGGAAUCUUCCAAGUUCAGAGCUGAUGAAGGGCUUGAUUUCAUAUUUGCUGUGGACUUUUGAGAAGCAUCUUGGAUGGCUUUUAUUCCAAACAAUUUAGACCUUUUGGGCUGAUCAGACGCCUACUCUUAAAUUCUUUUGACACCACAAUAAACCUAAGUGCUGUGUGAUAACCAUUAAACAAAACUGCUUUUAUAUUCUGUCUUUCAAAAACAAAAUUUAGGAGUGCUUGCUGUAACUUCUUAAGUCCUACAGAUCUUGGAAACAGGUUCUUUUAAUUAUCUUUGUUGAGAAUCUGCCCAGUUGAACUUCUCAGAGGUCCUCCUUUUGGUCUCCCUGCCCAGAGAUGACAUGGAGUAACCCAGUAUAGGGUUUUAUCCCAGCAUUUGAUUCAUAAAUUAUUCCAAACUAUUGUCUGAUGCUGGCAGUGUUGUCUUCAGUGCCAGAUGUUAACUACAGGUCCUAAGGAGGAACGGUUUUAUUUGGUACCUGACAAGUGGAAAUUUAACAAUAUUUUCAAGGUAUGGAGAUGGUGAUAGGAAAUAUGCCCUGUUAAAUUUCUGCCUUUCAAACAGUAGCUGAAGCCAGAAAGGGCUGCUUACCUUAUCUUCCUGUCAAAUAAAUUUUGGCAGAUUUCUAGCCAUUUUGGUUGCAAAGAAUACAGUAAGUGAAAAUAUAUUGCAUCAGAUUAACCAGUUAGUAUAAGUCAAAGACAAAAAAUUUGCUAGCCUUAAAAUAUUCUGAAAACCUAAAGUAUCUUUUGUUUGCCCUGGACUAACGAUCACCUUAGCUAGUUUCACUGCUUGGAGAGGUCAGAGGACACUAGUUAAGGGAGGCUUUACUAGAAGGUGAAAUUGUUUUGGGGUAUGCUACUAACAAUUUCAUUAGAUGCUAUUCAAAAAUAAUAGCACACAUGAGGAUUAUAUAGCAGUGAGAACACUCGCAGGGUCUAAAUGUGAACCCACUACACAAAAAUACAGAAAAUAAACUUAAUCUUAUAUACGUGACCAAAAAACACUGCUUUUGUGUAGACAUACUGCCUAUUAUGUAGGUGAGUGUACAUACACACACAUGGUGCAAGGUGCACAUUUAAUUAAAGCAUUUUAAAACAUUUCAGUUCUUAAUGAUACCAGAACAGGGUGUGACUAAAACUAAUCAUAUCAAGAAAAAAGCAAAACCUAAAUAUUUUAGUGGCAACUUAAAGAGCAGAGCAGACCAACCAUAUAACAAACCUUUAAAAUCCUGAGCAAAUAACAUUUUAUCCUGGCACUGGAAGGAUUGUACUAUUGGCACCAUAUUUCUAUGGGAAGAGUUUUCCAUUAACUGCUUACCACUUGCUAGUUUCCCUGGGUGAGUUCACAUAUAACAAGUCAGCUGGAAACUACAUAGGUGUGGCUUGCUGCUAUAUGUGAACCCAGCAUGAUAUAUUUGGUUUUCAUGAACCCACAUAGAGAACCAAUGGGUUUUUAAGGUGUCCACACCUCAUCUUUGCUUGAUUUUAUGUAUGAAUAUAGUUGCCAUGUUUGUGUGGCUUUUGCCAUAGACUUUGGCAGCAAGAGUGGCCAUAGCUGCAGCAACUUCUGUACUCAUCGCUCUCCAAAAUUUUCUCUGCUGAGUUGCCAGCGGCAGUGCAGUGAUUGACUGCACCCUUUCUGCAGUGGUAGUGUAUGACAUUCCAGUGUCCUGCCAUGGUGAUGGGAACUUGCUGGCAGCAGGGCAUAGAACUGUGCUGCCUCCAGCAGCAGUGACUGCAAAAAGACAGCCAUGCUUGGCACUCCAGCCUGGUCACUUGUGCUUUGCAGGAGCAGUGCUCUGAAGUGGCACUGUGUUUGUACCAUUCCCAGAGCCAGUGGUCUCAUGUGGAGACUGUCCUGCAUUCAAGGAGCACAUGGGCAGUUUGUGGGAGUUUGCCAACAGUGUGAGAAUCCCAAGGAACCUGUGUCUCCCACCCUCUGCCCCCACAAUCUCUGGGUCUUUCCAUAAGCCACAGUGCCCCACCCCCACAUACUUGUGGGACUAACCCUGUCCUGACAACCUACCAACAUUUCCCCAAACUGAUGCCCAGUAGGCACCCUCAAUAAAGUCUGCCGAACAAGGUGUGUUCCCUCUAUCUCUGGCACAGAUGCCUGAUUUGAUACCCUCUGUGCAUCUGGUUGUGGCAGGGAGGGGAUAAGCUGCUGGCACCUUGCACAAAUCCUGUAUCAUGUGUAGACAUGUACAGGGGAAGAGAUGUGUGCAUGCUUGUACACUGACGUGGCAUGUGGCAGGAGUGGGGAGCACACCUACAGUGCUACUCUGGAGCAACUGUGCUACUCUAGCAAGUUGCUUUGCUGAGCAGCUAAAAAAGAAACCCACCUAGGAGCAGCAGGCUGCUGCCUUGCCUAGAGAAGCAUGUAAACCAUUGAGUGAAAGGCAAGUGAGGCAGAAGUGGUUCACCCUGGGAUUAAUUCUGAGCCACAGAUGUAUAUGGGAUACUAGCUGCCAUUCAGAGGAAGAUGGAGAUGCAUGUCUGAACCCAGGAUUGAAGGUGACAUCACAUGCCAUAAGUAUCUCACGACCUCGCUUAAUGUCAUGUGAACACAGCCAUUAUGUUAUGCAAUAUAGACGUUUAAAAGGAUGAAAAUGGCACCACCACAGAAAACUCUCCCUUUUUGUUGCUUGCUUGUUUACUUUCCAUGGUGAGGGAACACUAAGAGCCCCAGCUAAAGAUCUUAAUGCAUGGACAGGUUGGCAUUUGGACUCCAGGCCAUUUAAGAUUUUAAAAGGUAAGCAAAAAGGUUUGAAUUAGCCCCAGAAACAGCUUGUGUGAUUCCACUUGGUCACACAAGUUAGAAUCUGGGUAGCUGUGCUUUGCAUUAUUUAAAACAUCCAAACAUUUUUCAAGAGCAGUCUCAGUAGUUAAGGUUGUUAUUGCAGUGUGGGUUCCUUGGAGACAAAAGGAAACAGUGCUUCAGAUCAUUUUACUCACAAAAAAGGAUUUUGAUAAUCCAGUAUCAUACCUGCUCCAUAAGCUUCUCAUACUGCCCAAGACUAUGACAUAUGGUACCAAUUUAAACAGGAACUGGUACAUUUCAAACGUCAAUGAAGGGAGUGUAAGUUUCUCUGAAUUGCCUACAGUAAUGUUAAAAUGCUAACCAAGUAAUUCAAAAGCUGUAAGUAUCUUUCCUGUCUUCCUAGCAAUGUUUCUAUGGAAAUACAGUUCUACUCAUGUCUACUCAGAAGUAACCUCCACUUAAUUCAGUGGAAGUUACUCCCUAAUUAAACCUUUGAAAGUAAUAUGAGGUCAUCUAUUCCUAAAGAUUAUCAUUUACAUUACACUUAUAUCUUGCUUUUGUCAUUUUGUGAGAAACCCAAGGCAGCUUACAUAGCUCCAUUUUAUCGUCACACUAGUCACACUAUGAGGUAUGUAAGGUUGAGAGUGAAUGAUUGGCCCAAAGCCAUCUAAAGAGCUUCAUGGCUGAGUGGAGACUAGACUCUUUAGACUCUAGGUCCACAAGUCUGCUACUUCUAACCAGCAAACCAGCUCUCGUAUAUCACAAUUAAAAAUCUCAUUAUUUCCUGUUUGCUUUUUGGCAAGAACUUUUAAUUCCCAUGUAUACCUCAGCUGCCUUUCAAAUUAUGCAGAUAUCCCACAUUUAGUGAAGUUUUUUCUCUGAAAUGGAAAUGUCUAGCUAAUGUAUUAUAAUCAAGGGCAGGAAUUGUAGGCCUUUUUUCUAUCUAAGGGUGUAUCAUGCUAAAUGAAUUAAAGUGGAACUCUAAGGGAUGGAGUGCUGCUGCUGCUUCCCUUCUCAAAUUGUCCUAUCUUCCUUUACCUUUCCUGAACAGAGAAAGGUGUCAAAAUGCCCUGCACACAGGACAUGCAUAGUUCUUUCCCAUAAUAGUUCUUUCCUAUAAUAAACAUUCCAAAUCCUGGAGGUAUUUCUUCCUUUAAACAGGGAUCAGUUAGAAUGUAUUUGUCCUGUCAUCUGUCUUCCUCUUAUUCCUGUUGUCCACACAGGUUCUGAUCACAGAGCAUCCAUUCUUUCAAGGAAUUUUUUGCCUCUUAACACUUGCUUUACAAUAUAGAACCAGAUUGUUGAGUUAUAUAAUUUUUAUACAUGUUUUAAGUUCUAUCCAUACCAACAUUUCCUAGGUGAACUCAGUAUUUACAAGCUCUCUCAGCUGGGAUGAAUCAUGGAAGAUUGAUGUUUAAAAGUAUCCUGUAAAUGGGUUACAAUUUCACUUCCAAGUGAAAUGCAUAUAGAUCACAUUUACCUAUUCAUUGGAUCUAAAAAAAACGUGUAGGAUUAGUAUUUUGUCUCUGAUUUUUAAAGAACCACCAUUUUUUGUAGUUUGACCAUUAUAGCAUUUUACAGUACAUCCGGAGUUUCAUGAUACCUUCCCCACUCCCAAGUAUGUUAUAUCCCUUCCAUAAUUUAGGAACAUUUUUUGUAAAGCAAGGAAGAUCAGUGACUAUUAUCAAUCUAAUUUUGAAUAUAAUUAAAGUAUAGUGAUUUGAAAAAUGGAAAUGUUUGUUAGAAAGCUGAAGGCUACACAAAACAAGGUAUAGGGCAAGAAUGGGAACUGGUCUUCAAAGGAGUUUAUUUUCUUUUUGAAGUUCUUUCAUUGACAAUUGUUUCAGCUGUUUGCUACUCAAGGACUUUCAAGAAUUAAAUGAAAAAAUAAGCAUUUUUUAAAUUU